GACAACGAUCAGUAGCCGGUCUGAGAGGAUGAACGGCCACAUUGGAACUGAGACACGGUCCAAACUCCUACGGGAGGCAGCAGUGGGGAAUAUUGCACAAUGGGGGAAACCCUGAUGCAGCAACGCCGCGUGAGUGAAGAAGUAUUUCGGUAUGUAAAGCUCUAUCAGCAGGGAAGAUAAUGACGGUACCUGACUAAGAAGCUCCGGCUAAAUACGUGCCAGCAGCCGCGGUAAUACGUAUGGAGCAAGCGUUAUCCGGAUUUACUGGGUGUAAAGGGUGCGUAGGUGGCAGUGCAAGUCAGAUGUGAAAGGCCGGGGCUCAACCCCGGAGCUGCAUUUGAAACUGCAUAGCUAGAGUACAGGAGAGGCA
This 370-nucleotide ribosomal RNA is filed under the name uncultured bacterium. RNAcentral describes it as "bacterial SSU rRNA". It matches the Rfam family "Bacterial small subunit ribosomal RNA", at positions 272 to 659 of the family's 1533-position model. The record is from RNAcentral.